RNAcentral lists this transfer RNA (90 nucleotides) under Candidatus Kerfeldbacteria bacterium CG15_BIG_FIL_POST_REV_8_21_14_020_45_12. Its description in RNAcentral is "tRNA-Ser". It matches the Rfam family "tRNA". Rfam says of the family: Transfer RNA (tRNA) molecules are approximately 80 nucleotides in length. Their secondary structure includes four short double-helical elements and three loops (D, anti-codon, and T loops). Lineage: Bacteria; Candidatus Kerfeldiibacteriota. The record is from RNAcentral.
GGAGGGGUCGCAUAGUGGCCUAGUGCGGCAGUCUUGAAAACUGCUAUCCGCGCAAGUGGAUCGUGGGUUCGACUCCCACCCCCUCCGCCA